RNAcentral lists this ribosomal RNA (329 nucleotides) under uncultured eukaryote. RNAcentral's name for it is "partial 18S ribosomal RNA". It matches the Rfam family "Eukaryotic small subunit ribosomal RNA", at positions 1470 to 1796 of the family's 1831-position model. The record is from RNAcentral.
CCCUUAGAUGUUCUGGGCUGCACGCGCGCUACACUGAUGCGCUCAACAAGUUUAUGACCUUGCCCGGAAGGGUUGGGUAAUCUUCUUAGCACGCAUCGUGAUGGGGAUAGAUUAUUGCAAUUAUUAAUCUUCAACGAGGAAUUCCUAGUAAGCGCGAGUCAUCAGCUCGUGCUGAUUACGUCCCUGCCCUUUGUACACACCGCCCGUCGCUCCUACCGAUUGAGCAUCCCGGUGAAGACUCAGGAGAUAUGUACGUGGCUGGUCUCCAGCUGCGUUGCGUGCCGAAUUUGUCUAAACCUUGAUGCUUAGAGGAAGGAGAAGUCGUAACA